This 98-nucleotide transfer RNA is filed under the name Blattabacterium sp. (Cryptocercus punctulatus) str. Cpu. RNAcentral's name for it is "tRNA-Ala". The stretch from base 1 to 74 matches the Rfam family "tRNA". From Rfam's summary of the family: Transfer RNA (tRNA) molecules are approximately 80 nucleotides in length. Lineage: Bacteria; Pseudomonadati; Bacteroidota; Flavobacteriia; Flavobacteriales; Blattabacteriaceae. The record is from RNAcentral.
GGGGGAUUAGCUCAGCUGGCUAGAGCACCUGUUUUGCACGCAGGAGGUCAUCGGUUCGACUCCGAUAUUCUCCAUUUUAUUUAAAAUAUAUAAAGUUC